AAAAGGAGACGAAAAAGACCAGAGACAUCAGUCGAGUGAGCAUCUCCGACACGGCAACAACUGCAGCGCACUAUCUGUCACCAUCUGCCUUCUUCACCGUAUUGCCAGUUCGCAUCCAUGGUUAAUAAGGCGUCGUAUGCUGUUGGGUUUUGUAUCGUUGAUAGCUGGGUCGACCACUGGUGUACCGAUGUCUCCUGGGUAUGGCGAAUACCAAACCGCAACGCAUCCGCCUUACUACCCAAAAGCAACUUACGCAACGACCAGUUACUGCACCGAGGUCUACAAGUAUUACACUAUUAAGGCACCGGAGUUUUAUACCACAACUGACGCUGCCCCGAGCCACUACACUGACGUCCUGAAGUAUUACUCUGCCCCGAGUUACUACACCAAGGCGACGGAGCAGGACUACGCAUGCUGCCCCAUCCUACUACACCAAGGGUUCUAACUGCUACACCGAGGCUCCCGCUGAUUACUCCACCCAAACGGUCGAAUACUAUACCGAAGCGCCAAAGUACUAUUCUGCCCCGAUCUAUACAACCACAACUGAGGCGGCCAAGUAUUACGCAGUCCCGUCUUACUACACAGAAGCUGCUCUU
RNAcentral lists this unclassified non-coding RNA (596 nucleotides) under Daphnia pulicaria. Its description in RNAcentral is "uncharacterized LOC124311469, transcript variant X4". The record is from RNAcentral. Lineage: Eukaryota; Metazoa; Arthropoda; Branchiopoda; Diplostraca; Daphniidae.